UAGUAUUCAAUUGUCAGAGGUGAAAUUCUUGGAUUUAUUGAAGACUAACUACUGCGAAAGCAUUUGCCAAGGAUGUUUUCAUUAAUCAAGAACGAAAGUUAGGGGAUCGAAGACGAUCAGAUACCGUCGUAGUCUUAACCACAAACUAUGCCGACUAGGGAUCGGAUGAUGUUAAUUUUUUAAUGACUCA
RNAcentral lists this ribosomal RNA (190 nucleotides) under uncultured Glomeromycotina. RNAcentral describes it as "partial 18S ribosomal RNA". It matches the Rfam family "Eukaryotic small subunit ribosomal RNA", at positions 892 to 1078 of the family's 1831-position model. Lineage: Eukaryota; Fungi; Glomeromycota. The record is from RNAcentral.